Molecule: long non-coding RNA, 3780 nt
Filed under: Malus domestica (apple)
Lineage: Eukaryota; Viridiplantae; Streptophyta; Magnoliopsida; Rosales; Rosaceae
Description: long non-coding RNA (MDOM_LNC003734)
Source: RNAcentral
UAAAAUUGUAUAGAGGCAAAAUGUUUGAAUCUUUAUUCUUUUGGAAAGGAAGAAAGAAUCACAAAGUUGUUGAAAGAAGCACAAAGUUGUUGAAAGAAUCACAAAGUUGUUGAGGUUAAUUCACUUAGAUAUUAGUGGCACUUGUCCACAACAUAAUACUACUCAUGUUGUAUGACAUUCACCAAAGAUCGCUCUCGGUUGGACUAUCGUUUAUUUUAAAUAAACACAAAUCCGAAUACUUUGCAAAAGGUUUCAAAGAAUUCAAGAAUGUAAGUUGAUGAGUAAGACGUCUAAAGUAUUUACCUCCUUAGAUUUGAUCCAAGGAAAGGUAACACUUUGGAACAGUUUCCUUGAAAGAUAUCAAGGAAAGAAGCAUCAUUAGAUAAUGGAUUUCUCCAUUAGGAGAAGAAUGAACUUGAAUAAGAUUUAGUUUGUUGGAUGUUAUCAAUUACCCAUAUAUAGGAUAUAUACUUCUAAGACAAUAUGAUUGUCAAUUAGAAGAUCUUCCAAAAUUUUCAUGACUCCUUAGGAUGUAGUUGGAAAGAAAGAUAAGUCUUAAUCGUGUUAAGAUUUGGGGUUGUGUGCUAAUAAGCAAUAUUUGUUUGAGAAUUAUCUUGUGGAUAUCCUUAAAUUAAACUUUGGAUAUCACUUCUAUAAACCAACUAACAAAUGUUGUUUUGUUUGGUAGUUCAUUGUAAUCCUACAAUAUGAGUUGCCUAAGUGCAAAUGAACGAGAGAUAGAACUCAAAGAAUGGGUUCUUUGAGAGACAAGAUGAUAAUCAACAAAUAUAACAACCUAGUUCCUACAUCACAAGCUCCAAGGUAGUCGAGAAGGAUAUAUAAACUAUCUCAGUUGAAUGGUUUGAACUUUAUGACUAUGUCAUAGAGUUACACCUCUUAAUUCGAAAGAAAUAAGAAUGAAAAUCCUUAUGACUACAUUGAGUGUAUAUACGACAUAUACUCAAGGAAAUGGUAAAGUACCAUUUGACCCGAAAUAAUGAAACCUUCAUAGCUAAUUGGUAGCUUAAAGUGACUACAAUCAAAGAGAAUGGUUGACUUGGAAGAAACCAUCUUUGACAUAGUCUUGGUUUCAAUUAAUUCAAAGAUUGCUAGCUACAACUAAAUGUUGAUUCAAUGUUUGGACAUAAUAUGGGUUUCCGAAACCAUUAUUAAGAUAGUCUUGAUAAUAUAUGUCUAAAACUAUGAAUCACAAGACAUGUAAGUUGUAGAGAUCCAUCCAUCAUGAAUCUUAGCAAGCUAGUGGGAGCUAUAAGCGUCUUAUGAGAGAAAGAUCAAAUCGUUUGAUUUCUCAUAAAGAUGUAAAUGAAUCUUUUGUUUACUAGGUUUACAAAAGAUUAGUGGGAGUUAAUCAUGUUCCUAAAUUUGAAUAUAUAUAUAUAUAUAUGUACAUAUAUGAUAUAUUAAUUUUGGAAAUGAAAAGAAUACUUCUUCGUUAAAGUUAUGACUUUAAACAUUCUAUAACAAUAGAAUGUAUAUGGGAGACAUAGUCUGUAAAAAUGGGAUGGAAAUCUAUAAUGAUAGAUUUCAGGAUAUAAUUGGAUUAUAUCAAGCCCUAAUGAUAGACAAAAGAUGCUAGGAAGUUUCUCAUAUGAUGAUAAACUUCAAUCAGAAGGACAACUCUAGUGAGACUAGGAAGUUGCUCUUCUCAAAGGGAACGUACCCUUUUGACUCCUAAAGAAACAUAAUGCAUAAAUAGAAUCCUUUAUGCAUACGCAGAAAGGUGACUUACGUAUUUCAUAUUGUAUGAAAAACAUUGAUAUGAGUUGUACCAAGAUCGGUACAAGACGAUAUCAAUGCAAGCCCAGGAUCAGAACCAUGGCAACUGUCAAGUGAAUCCUUAAGUAUUUGAGAAAUAAUAAAGGAUGGAUUCCUCAAGAAUGAGGAAGAAUUAGAGUAACGUAAUGGAAGAGUAAAUGUAUUAGAUUAUGAAUCUAAUCGAUCAUUGGAUGUUUAUUCAUUAUGAAUGAAGAGAUAAUCAGAUAUCUCUUUAUUAUGACUAAAGAGAUAUUUGGAUGGAAACAUUAAAAGUAAUGACUUUAGUGUGUUCCAUUGUGAAUGCAAAAAUAUUGCCAUAUAGAAGCUUACAACAAUGUUUUUUGGAUGAGAAAGUUCAUUCAUGAACUCUCUAUUCGGUUCCAACCAGAAAGUGUCUCUAGUGUACCGACACUAUGACACUAAUGGGGCGAUAGCUCAAGCCAAGGAAUCAAGGUCUCAUCAUGAUCCGAAGUCAAAUGAGAGACUAAACCACAUGAUUAAGAAUCAUGUAUAAUGGUGACGUCGUUAUUCUCAAGGUUGCUUCUAUGGAUAACAUAUAGAUAUCCAUUGUCUAGGCCUACUACUCAACCAUUUUUGAAAUGACUACAGAAGAGGUAUCAUCAUUGAUGACCAAGCUGAUUGGCUCUAGUGCAAGUAGGAGAUUGUUGGAAAUGUGCCCUAAAACCAAUCAUAGGAUGAUACUUUACGGACAUUUCACAUGUCAAACUAAUAUAGUUUAAUUUAAAGGGCAAAGAUUAUUGUUUGAAGCCAUCUCAUAUAAAUGUUAUACGCUUAAACGAUAAGUCCAAGGAAUAUGUAAUUAGGAGAAUGCGAUCUAAAGAAGUUAGAUUCAUGAGACCAUUCUCUUCCGCAUACGUAUCCUAAACGUUCCUGAUCAUAGGAGUGCCAAUUGGGCAUUGACAGUCCGUUAAGAUCAGUACGUGUUAUGUCUUCUCUUAGGGAGAGUGACUGGUCUCGAGUCAUUGGUGUGACUGACACCAAGACAAGCAUGUAGGUGCUCAAUAGAGAAUAAGUCUACUGAACACGAUCAUCAAGGAGUUCUCAUACUCAUAUCACAUGAGAACUCAGGGUUGGGAUAAUGCAAAGUAGUCCUUUGACCUGAGGCAUCAUAGUUGUCUUGUGGUUAGGUCCUUGAUCUUUGACUAUGUCAAAGUCACUCCGUCAAAGGGUGUCCACGGCAUAGUUGGGGUUAAGCCACUUAGCCAUGGAGGCAAGUGAAUGCGCAACAAGGGAUCUUUAACCUUUAAGUUGUUUGAGGGAGAAUACUCUAUGAUAUGAUUAAGAAUCUCUGGCCAGAAGUAUGAAUAAGAUUUAGUAAGUCGUUCCAAAUCACAUUCAAGGUAAUCAUAUAAGUAAAAGAAUCACAUUGGAUAGUAGACAUGAAUAAACUAUUAAAUCAAACAAUGUGGUCAAGAGUAUUGUAUUAGAGAAAUACCGUAUUGCAUUGUAAUCCUAAACUAAAUAGGUUCUCCACCUCUUUUGAUUAGUUUGGGUAACCAUGACAUACUGCUAGGUGUCACUCAUGGUUUGUGAAGCCCUAAACGUGUAUAAUCACUAAAGGGAGAAUUGAAAGUAAGUUUCAAUUCACAAUCGAUUUGAAAGAGUUCUAAUCGCCCACUGCCUCGCUAAAAGGAUCUAAAAGGAACCUAAUGGAUCGUACACCAUGUAAGGUAGAGAUUGAAGAAACAACGGAGAUGAGUACGGAUAAUUAAAUGGUUUAAUUGUUUAUGGCAAGAAUUAAUUAAUGUGUUAAUUAAUUAAACGAAUACGUUCGUUUUAAACCUUGAGUUUGUUUUGGGCCUUAAAGCCCAAAUUGGGCUUCGAAUCGUCAAACCCAUUAGCUUAAGUUGUAUGACAACUUAACAAACAAAAUUCAAGAAGCCCAAAACAGCCCAAAGAAUUGGGAAAACCGGCCAUAAAGAGAGGGGUAGUGAACUUGGCUUAAUUGCAAGUUUGCCACUCCAUUGUGAGGUGGUAUAAAGG